Molecule: RNA transcript, 1500 nt
Organism: Dipodomys spectabilis (banner-tailed kangaroo rat)
Lineage: Eukaryota; Metazoa; Chordata; Mammalia; Rodentia; Heteromyidae
Gene name: rho GTPase-activating protein 20-like
Exons: 7
Source: RefSeq, a predicted model, not a curated record
GUGUCCUGGUGAUUUUGUGACUCUUACCCAGGGACCCCAACGCACUAGACGUUGACACAGGUGCAUGCCAUUUCUCCUAAAGAGCUGAGUAUCUGUCCAUCGAUUUAUAUUCAGCCUGUGAGGAUCAUAUUUCCACACUUUUGGCCAUGAGGCAGCUCUAUACCAUGGGUUAUCUGAAAAGGUCCUUAUUUGACCUUGCCUCUUGAAAGACAUUUUCACUGAAUUUUAGACCUUAUAUUUUUUUCCCCUCUCAGUAUUUUAAUGGUUUUCCAGUACCUUUUGUUCCCCAUAUUCUCUGGUGUUUCCUCAGCUGUCAUUCAGCUUUGGCCUAUGUGCAGUUUGUUUCCAUGUGUCUGAAAUGCUUUCUCCUGGCUUCAUAUUAUAUAAAGAAAUGAAGAAACAGUUCUUCUCAAGGUUUUGUGUUCUACACAGAUGUUGCCUUUAAAUAUCAGAAAAUGAAUUUUACCUGAGGGACAAGGAAACUAAUUUACCAAUAACUAUAUAAUGAUACUGUUUGGAUUCUUAAUAUAUACCUUUUUUCCUCAUGUCUUUUAUAGCCAAUAACAGUAAUAUCAAGAAACUCUGAUACAGUGAAGGAUGUUAUAGGCAAGUCACUCUCAAUCCUAGGAAUAAAAGGCUCCGAGAGUGACUACCAGUUGUGGCUCCAUUCUGAACAUGAAGAAGCUCCCUUUGUCUUCAUUGAGUCAGAGCAGAAGAAAGAAGGAAGGGGAAGAUCUUUCAUCAUAUGGUUUUUUGGGUGGCGGUCCAGCACAGCCAAGGAGAACAAACCCCUGAAAUCCUCACGUGUAAAGACAAGACUGCUCUUUGGGACUUCCCUGGAGGCUGCUUGUAAGGAUGGCAAACUACCCUCCCCUAUUCUGGAGAUGAUUUCCUUCCUCAGUCAGGAGGGGCGGCUCACCGAGGGCAUCUUCAGAAAGUCAAGCAGUGUCAAAGCCUUCAGAGCCCUCAAAGAAAAACUCAUGUCUGGAGCCCGAGUGGACCUGCACCAGGAAUCCGUGUCUGUGGUGGCCUCAGUGUUAAAGUCUUUUAGAAAUGCUGCCCAGAGUCAACCAACUGCUGCUGAAACAUCUCUUUGGAAUGUUAAGCCAAAUCCACCAGACUUCCUCCAUAAACCUGAUGACCUCCUACAACCUAGCUGUGUGCACAGCUUCCAGCUUGAUGGCCCCGCCUCCUGAUGCCAGGGCAGGAUUUGAUACUCAACUCAUGAGAAAGGUUGCCCUGGUGCAGUUUUUGAUUGAAAACACUCCCACAAUCUUUGCCAAAGACUUCACUCCUGUCUCUUAGGAGAGCUCAGACUGACAACGAAGCUAUGAUUGUGUGAGCACCACUGAAGACAAACUCACCUAUUUUUUGGCUUCCCAAUUCUUCUUCCCAUCUUUCCAAAUCUAAAGAUCUUCCCAGUCCCCAUAGUAUACUAAGUUUUUCACUUAUAUUAUUUUGUCUUUCGUUAAUUGUUGAUAUAAUAAAAUAAAAACAUAA